GGUCCAUUCUAGAUAUACAGGAGUAUCUGAAGCUAGCCUUACUUGUGCACUUGCACAUCGCUGACAUGCUCUCAGAAUUCACUGUGCGUAUGAAAGUUGGAAGCAUUUUUUCUCCGUGGACAUGGUUAAGCAUUUCUUCCGGAGUCAUGCGUGUCUGUUGUCUGGCGUUUUAUGGAAGAUGAAAGACCGGUUCAUUAUAACAAUUCUAUGAAGAAUCAAUUUUCCAAAACCUGAUUCGACUAGACACGGGCAGGCUUCAAAUCGCGGAGAGCAUCCGUUAGCCUUCAGCUCGCCAAAUCCAAAACCAUGGCUAUCGGUAAUCUAGAGAUAUUGUACUGCAAGAAGCGGG
RNAcentral lists this small RNA (349 nucleotides) under Histoplasma capsulatum. RNAcentral's name for it is "hypothetical RNA". RNAcentral also lists the same sequence under 1 other name. Lineage: Eukaryota; Fungi; Ascomycota; Eurotiomycetes; Onygenales; Ajellomycetaceae. The record is from RNAcentral.